GGGUUGUGAGGUUAAGCGACUAAGCGUACACGGUGGAUGCCCUGGCAGUCAGAGGCGAUGAAGGGCGUGCUAAUCUGCGAUAAGCGCCGGUAAGGUGAUAUGAACCGUUAUAACCGGCGAUACCCGAAUGGGGAAACCCAGUGUGAUUCGUCACACUAUCAUUAACUGAAUCCAUAGGUUAAUGAGGCGAACCGGGGGAACUGAAACAUCUAAGUACCCCGAGGAAAAGAAAUCAACCGAGAUUCCCCCAGUAGCGGCGAGCGAACGGGGAGGAGCCCAGAGCCUGAAUCAGCAUGUGUGUUAGUGGAAGCGUCUGGAAAGGCGCGCGAUACAGGGUGACAGCCCCGUACACAAAAGCGCAUAUGCUGUGAGCUCGAUGAGUAGGGCGGGACACGUGGUAUCCUGUCUGAAUAUGGGGGGACCAUCCUCCAAGGCUAAAUACUCCUGACUGACCGAUAGUGAACCAGUACCGUGAGGG
This 478-nucleotide ribosomal RNA is filed under the name Salmonella enterica. Its description in RNAcentral is "partial 23S ribosomal RNA". It matches the Rfam family "Bacterial large subunit ribosomal RNA", at positions 1 to 509 of the family's 2925-position model. RNAcentral also lists the same sequence under 1 other name. The record is from RNAcentral. Lineage: Bacteria; Pseudomonadati; Pseudomonadota; Gammaproteobacteria; Enterobacterales; Enterobacteriaceae.